UAACAGCCACUGCAUUGUGCCGGCGGCCGCUCAACUAAACUCCAAAUUUGAUUUCUGUCGUUUACAAGAAAAAACCGCGACCGUUACAGUUUCUUGCAUAUCUGCGCCAUUUUCUAUUGUAGUUUGUGCAGCGUGGAAAGCAGGACCAAGGACAAGAACGAUGUCCCGGUAUCGCAAUUCUGGCCCUUUGGAUUGUAAAGUAUAUGUUGGUGAACUUGGAAAUAGUGGAACUCGACAUGAAUUAGAAGAUGCCUUUAGUUAUUAUGGUCCUUUAAGAAAUGUAUGGGUAGCUAGAAACCCACCUGGUUUUGCAUUUGUUGAAUUUGAAGACUCAAGAGAUGCUAGAGACGCAGUGAGAGCUUUAGAUGGAAAAAUACUAUGUGGACGGCGUGUUCGAGUUGAACUAUCAAGUGGCAAGUCAAGAUCAUCAUAUCGCCCACCUCCGCGCUAUAAUCCAGAUGAACGCUGCUACGAGUGUGGUGAACGCGGUCAUUAUGCCCGAGAUUGCAAAGGACAAAGACGUCGAUCAAGGCUAAAGCAGCCUCACAUGUGUAUAAAUCAACUUUAUCGCUCAAGCUGCAUUGUUGUGAUCAGCAUUCAGCAAUGAGUUACCAGCUCACCAUUUACUACAUCUCAGCAUAUAAAACAUCUUAAUGUUGCAUCCUCAACUCGUCACUGCUCAGGACGGCAGCACACUGCUUCUUGUCUUUCAUCUACAAAUCGACUCUUAAAGCGUUCUGCAUCUAACGCAUUUCGGCCAUCUCUGCACUACAUCGUCAAAAAAAUCAGCAAUGUGCUUGCUACUUAUUGUUAUCAACUCUAAGUUGUACAAUAUAAUGAGAAGAGAUCCCGCUCACGUUCUCCACGACGCAGAUCCAGAAGUCGUUCUCGUAGCCGAUCAGCAAGCCGCAGCCCCGUGAGAGGUCAUGCUGCUGCCUCAAGAAGUCGAUCAGGUUCCAGAAGCCGGUGA
Molecule: unclassified non-coding RNA, 970 nt
Organism: Stegodyphus dumicola
Lineage: Eukaryota; Metazoa; Arthropoda; Arachnida; Araneae; Eresidae
Source: RefSeq, a predicted model, not a curated record